RNAcentral lists this unclassified non-coding RNA (329 nucleotides) under soil metagenome. Its description in RNAcentral is "partial contains 5.8S ribosomal RNA, internal transcribed spacer 2, and large subunit ribosomal RNA". The stretch from base 1 to 120 matches the Rfam family "5.8S ribosomal RNA", at positions 35 to 154 of the family's 154-position model. The record is from RNAcentral.
GAUGAAGAACGCAGCGAAAUGCGAUAAGUAAUGUGAAUUGCAGAAUUCAGUGAAUCAUCGAAUCUUUGAACGCACAUUGCGCCCCUUGGUAUUCCGAGGGGCAUGCCUGUUCGAGCGUCAUUAUAACCCCUCAAGCUCAGCUUGGUGUUGGGGCCUGCUGAACUGGCAGCCCUUAAAAUCAGUGGCGGCGCCAUCUGGCUCUAAGCGUAGUAAUUCUUCUCGCUAUGGAGUCCUGGUGGAUGCUUGCCAUCAACCCCCAAUUUUUCUAUGGUUGACCUCGGAUCAGGUAGGGAUACCCGCUGAACUUAAGCAUAUCAAUAAGCGGAGGA